RNAcentral lists this ribosomal RNA (1325 nucleotides) under metagenome. Its description in RNAcentral is "bacterial LSU rRNA". It matches the Rfam family "Bacterial large subunit ribosomal RNA", at positions 1561 to 2925 of the family's 2925-position model. The record is from RNAcentral.
AGUGGAUGGGGAGCAACCUAGUUGUGCGUGUGUAAAGGUAGUGCCAAGAAAAGCGAUGAUCAUGUUGAAAAUCAAUUCCCGGUACCCGAAACCGACACAGGUGGGCAAGUAGAGAAUACUAAGGGGCGCGAGGUAACUCUCUCCAAGGAACUCGGCAAAAUGACCCCGUAACUUAGGGAGAAGGGGUGCCACCGAGAGGUGGUCGCAGUGAAGAGGCCCAGGCGACUGUUUAGCAAAAACAUAGGUCUCUGCAAACUCGAAAGAGGAGGUAUAGGGGCUGACGCCUGCCCAGUGCCGGAAGGUUAAAGAAGUUGGUCAGUCUUAGGAUGAAGCUAGCGACUGAAGCCCCGGUGAACGGCGGCCGUAACUAUAACGGUCCUAAGGUAGCGAAAUUCCUUGUCGGGUAAGUUCCGACCCGCACGAAAGGCGUAACGAUCUGGGCGCUGUCUCGGAGAGAGGCUCGGCGAAAUAGGAUUGUCUGUGAAGAUACGGACUACCUGCAUUUGGACAGAAAGACCCUAUGAAGCUUUACUAUAGCUUGGAAUUGUGUUCGGGCUUCCUGUGCGCAGGAUAGGUGGGAGGCGUAGAAGGUAUUCUUGUGGGGAUACUGGAGCCAACGGUGAGAUACCACUCUCAGGAGGCUAGAAUUCUAACUUAAUUAAGGACAGUUUCAGGUGGGUAGUUUGACUGGGGCGGUCGCCUCCAAAAAGGUAACGGAGGCGUACAAAGGUUCCCUCAGACUGGUUGGAAAUCAGUCGAAGAGAGCAAAGGCAGAAGGGAGCUUGACUGCGAGAAGUACAGUUCGAGCAGGGUGGAAACUCGGUCUUAGUGAUCCGACGGUGCUGUGUGGAAGGGCCGUCGUUCAACGGAUAAAAGUUACUCUAGGAUAACAGGCUGAUCUCCCCCAAGAGUUCACAUCGACGGGGAGGUUUGGCACCUCGAUGUCGGCUCAUCGCAACCUGGGGCGGAAGUACGUCCCAAGGGUGGGGCUGUUCGCCCAUUAAAGCGGUACGUGAGCUGGGUUCAGAACGUCGUGAGACAGUUCGGUCCAUAUCCGAUGUAGGCGUGAGAAUAUUGAGAGGAGCCUUCCUUAGUACGAGAGGACCGGGAAGGACGCACCGCUGGUGUACCUGUUAUGAUGCCAAUUGUAAACGCAGGGUAGCCAAGUGCGGAGAGGAUAACCGCUGAAAGCAUCUAAGUGGGAAGCCCACCUCAAGAUGAGUAUUCUGGUGUAAGGUCACGGGAAGACGACCCGUAAAUAGGCACGAGGUGGAAGUGCAGAGAUGUAUGAAGCCGAAGUGUACUAAUAGACCGUCGGCUUGAUA